GGAGAGGUGAUUUGAUGGUUAAGAGUACUGGCUGUUCUUCCAGAGGACCUGGGUUCAAUUCCCAGCACUUCUA
This 73-nucleotide transfer RNA is filed under the name Neotoma lepida (desert woodrat). It matches the Rfam family "tRNA". From Rfam's summary of the family: Transfer RNA (tRNA) molecules are approximately 80 nucleotides in length. Their secondary structure includes four short double-helical elements and three loops (D, anti-codon, and T loops). The record is from Rfam by way of RNAcentral. Lineage: Eukaryota; Metazoa; Chordata; Mammalia; Rodentia; Cricetidae.